AGAGUUUGAUCAUGGCUCAGGAUGAACGCUGGCGGCGUGCCUAACACAUGCAAGUCGAACGAAGAGGUUUCCUUCGGGAGAUACUUCAGUGGCGAAUGGGUGAGUAACACGUAGGUGACCUGCCCCGAAGCAGGGGAUAACGGCUCGAAAGGGCCGCUAAUACCCAAAAGGGUCGCGGUUCAAAUCGCGAUCAGAGCUAUGGCGUUUCGGGAGGGGCCUGCGGCCCAUCAGCUUGUUGGCAGGGUAAUGGCCUACCAAGGCGAUGACGGGUAGGGGGCCUGAGAGGGUGGUCCCCCACACUGGCACUGACACACGGGCCAGACUCCUACGGGAGGCAGCAGUGAGGAAUAUUGCACAAUGGGCGAAAGCCUGAUGCAGCAACGCCGCGUGGGUGAUGAAGGCCUUCGGGUCGUAAAACCCCUUUUCAGGGGAAAGAGAGAGGACGGUACCCCUGGAAUAAGGUUCGGCUAACUACGUGCCAGCAGCCGCGGUAAAACGUAGGAACCGAGCGUUAUCCGGAUUCACUGGGCGUAAAGCGCCUGCAGGCGGUUUCGUAAGUUGGAUGUGAAAUCUCUCGGCUUAACUGGGAGGGGCCAUUCAAUACUGCGGAGCUAGAGGGCAGAAGAGGGAAGCGGAAUUCCCGGUGUAGUGGUGAAAUGCGUAGAUAUCGGGAGGAACACCAGUGGCGAAAGCGGCUUCCUGGUCUGCUCCUGACGCUAAGAGGCGAAAGCUAGGGGAGCGAACGGGAUUAGAAACCCCGGUAGUCCUAGCCGUAAACGAUGGACGCUAGGUGUAGGUGGUCCUAACCCCAUCUGUGCCGAAGCUAACGCGUUAAGCGUUCCGCCUGGGGACUACGAUCGCAAGGUUAAAACUCAAAGGAAUUGACGGGGCCCCGCACAAGCAGCGGAGCGUGUGGUUUAAUUCGAUGCUACACGAAGAACCUUACCCGGGUUUGACAUGCAGGUGGUAGUGAAACGAAAGUGGAACGACCCUUCGGGGAGCCUGUACAGGUGCUGCAUGGCUGUCGUCAGCUCGUGCCGUGAGGUGUUGGGUUAAGUCCCCUAACGAGCGCAACCCUCGCCGUCAGUUACAAGUGUCUGGCGGGACUGCCGGUCUCAAACCGGAGGAAGGUGGGGAUGACGUCAAGUCAGCAUGGCCUUUAUAUCCGGGGCUACACACACGCUACAAUGGCCGGUACAAUGGGUCGCCAACCCGCGAGGGGGAGCCAAUCCCAUAAAGCCGGUCUCAGUUCGGAUUGGAGGCUGCAACCCGCCUCCAUGAAGCCGGAGUUGCUAGUAAACGCGCGUCAGCCAUAGUGCGUUGAAUACGUUCCCGGGGCUUGUACACACCGCCCGUCACGUCAUGGGAGCUGGCAACACCUGAAGCCGGUGGGCUAACCGCAAGGAAGCAGCCGUCUAAGGUGGGGCUGGUGACCGGGACGAAGUCGUAACAAGGUA
This 1457-nucleotide ribosomal RNA is filed under the name uncultured bacterium. RNAcentral describes it as "16S ribosomal RNA". It matches the Rfam family "Bacterial small subunit ribosomal RNA". The record is from RNAcentral.